RNAcentral lists this ribosomal RNA (247 nucleotides) under uncultured bacterium. RNAcentral's name for it is "partial 16S ribosomal RNA". It matches the Rfam family "Bacterial small subunit ribosomal RNA", at positions 523 to 769 of the family's 1533-position model. The record is from RNAcentral.
AUACGGAGGGUGCAAGCGUUAUCCGGAAUCACUGGGUUUAAAGGGUGCGUAGGCGGCUUCAUAAGUCAGUGGUGAAAGCCUGCAGCUUAACUGUAGGACUGCCAUUGAUACUGUAAGGCUUGAGUACUGAUGAGGUAGGCGGAAUUGAUAGUGUAGCGGUGAAAUGCAUAGAUAUUAUCAAGAACACCGAUUGCGAAGGCAGCUUACUAAGGAGUUACUGACACUGAGGCACGAAAGCGUGGGGAUC